This 774-nucleotide ribosomal RNA is filed under the name uncultured Neocallimastigales. Its description in RNAcentral is "partial large subunit ribosomal RNA". It matches the Rfam family "Eukaryotic large subunit ribosomal RNA", at positions 23 to 643 of the family's 3401-position model. The record is from RNAcentral. Lineage: Eukaryota; Fungi; Neocallimastigomycota; Neocallimastigomycetes; Neocallimastigales.
AUAGAGACUCAGAGCUGCAUAUCAAUAAGCGGAGGAAAAGAAACUAACAAGGAUUCCCUUAGUAACGGCGAGUGAAGCGGGAAGAGCUCAAAUUUGAAAUCUUCAAGGUUCUACCUUGACGAAUUGUAGUUUAUAGAAGUGUUUUCUGUUAGUGGAGUGGCAAAAGUUCUUUGGAAUAGGACAUCAUAGAGGGUGAGAAUCCCGUAUUUGGUCAUUCCUCCUAGCGUUGUGAUACACUUUCAACGAGUCGGAUUGUUUGGGAAUGCAGUCCAAAAUGGGUGGUAAAUUUCAUCUAAAGCUAAAUAUUGGCGAGAGACCGAUAGCGAACAAGUACCGUGAGGGAAAGAUGAAAAGAACUUUGAAAAGAGAGUUAAACAGUACGUGAAAUUGUCAAAAGGGAAGCGUUUGACACCAGUGUUGUUUUUCCGAAAAUCAAUUACGAAUGUUUUGUUUUUGAGGAGUUAUGACUUCAUCGGCUUGCUUCUCUCUUUAUGAAACUUUCUUAAUGCACUUUUCGGUUAACAAGUCAACAUCAAUUUCUUUUGUUGUAAAAGGGUAUGAGGAAGGUGGCUUUCUUUUCGGAGAAAGUGUUUAUAGCCUUGUGCCUCUGCAAUCGGAGAGAUUGAGGUCUGCAGCGUAGAUCCUUCGGGGUUAGAUACAUUUGUGCUAAGUUAUAGCUUUUCAUAGACAACUUGUUGACUAUGUUUAGUCUUGUAGCUUACUCGCUUAUGCUAUUUUACCUACGCUUAGGAUGUUGAUAUGCAUGACUGAUAU